This 300-nucleotide RNase P RNA is filed under the name Candidatus Bathyarchaeota archaeon. RNAcentral's name for it is "RNase P RNA component". It matches the Rfam family "Archaeal RNase P". Rfam says of the family: Ribonuclease P (RNase P) is a ubiquitous endoribonuclease, found in archaea, bacteria and eukarya as well as chloroplasts and mitochondria. Its best characterised activity is the generation of mature 5'-ends of tRNAs by cleaving the 5'-leader elements of precursor-tRNAs. Lineage: Archaea; Thermoproteati; Candidatus Bathyarchaeota. The record is from RNAcentral.
GUGAGCUGGCGGAUGGCUCCGAGCCGAGAAAGGCUUGAGGAAACUCCGCCCACCAUGCAGACUUGCAGCAUUCGUAAGGAUGCAAGGCGAGAGUCUUGGCAACAGAACAGAAACGAAACGUCCAUCCGGCACUUGAUAAUGAUACAUUCAAGUUGUUGAAGAUGCUGGGUGUGAAGCGUUGAAACGGCUGUCCUGCAAGGUGCAAGGGCAAACAGACGCUUAUGAAAACUGCAUGAAGCGAGGGUAGCCCGAUUAGCCAAAUGCCAUCUUUGAACAAAAGGCGGGUUACGCCCAGCACAC